GCACCGAAAGGGCAUUGGUGGAACCCCGGCGGUGGCGAAAACUGCCCAACUGCAGGACAUUCGUACCCAGCGACGCCCUCCCGUCCUCUCUCACGAUGCCCUCCUAAGGAGUAAGCCCCAGGUUCGAAUCCUGGUCGGGGCG
RNAcentral lists this transfer RNA (142 nucleotides) under Gemmatimonadota bacterium. Its description in RNAcentral is "tRNA-Arg". Lineage: Bacteria; Pseudomonadati; Gemmatimonadota. The record is from RNAcentral.